RNAcentral lists this ribosomal RNA (253 nucleotides) under uncultured bacterium. RNAcentral's name for it is "partial 16S ribosomal RNA". It matches the Rfam family "Bacterial small subunit ribosomal RNA", at positions 524 to 776 of the family's 1533-position model. The record is from RNAcentral.
UACGUAGGGUGCGAGCGUUGUCCGGAAUUACUGGGCGUAAAGAGCUCGUAGGUGGUUUGCCGCGUUGUUCGUGAAAACCGGGGGCUUAACCCUCGGCGUGCGGGCGAUACGGGCAGACUGGAGUACUGCAGGGGAGACUGGAAUUCCUGGUGUAGCGGUGGAAUGCGCAGAUAUCAGGAGGAACACCGGUGGCGAAGGCGGGUCUCUGGGCAGUAACUGACGCUGAGGAGCGAAAGCGUGGGGAGCGAACAGG